Molecule: long non-coding RNA, 1091 nt
Filed under: Marmota monax (woodchuck)
Lineage: Eukaryota; Metazoa; Chordata; Mammalia; Rodentia; Sciuridae
Source: RNAcentral
CACCAGUCCUACCUUUCCUUUUCCUUAUGCACUGCAUUCUAGCUUCCACUUCACUUACAGUUCCACUGACCCUCUACUCUUUUCUCCUAAAACAGAGAGAGAGAGAGCAUGAGUGUGUGUGUGCACGUGUGCGUGAAUUAUCAGUGGAUUCCUACUGCGGACAUAAUGUGCAGGGAAGAAGCAGUAGGUAAGGAGGUUGGGGAGGCAGUAGGGCCUGCCGUGCUGUGAUAAGCUGUUUGGUUUUAUUCUGUAAGCAAUGGGGAGCUAUGGAAGGCUUUUGGGUAAAGGAAAGUGAAGGGAACACUCUUUAAGUCAGGGAAGAUUGUUAGAAGCACCAGUAAAAGGGGCAUAGAUAUUCUGUCUCCAAGAGUUGUAGGAAGUGAAUAAAACCAGCAAGAAAUGCCUUCAAAGGCUCUACAGAACUAUACAUAUGGGUUCUUCUGUUUUACCAAAACGUUCUUUGUUAUUUCUCAGGAAAUACCAUAUAUUUGUGUUUAUUUUCUUGUAUAGAAUUGUGGAAUGUUGGAACUGGGAAAUAUUUGAGCUGGAAAGAGUCUUAGAAAUCUUAAAUGAUGUGAUCAUCUUAUUUACAUAUUAGAACUUGGAGCCUGGAAGGAUUUAAAGUGAACUGACAACAGAAUAAAAAAGCAUCAGUGAUAGGACACAGACUGGAACUUGGAACUCCUGACAUCUAGUUCGGGAAUUUCCCAGCACACCUCGACUUCCCAAGCUGUUCCACUCAUUCUAUGUGAUUAUGAUGGGGUGGAGGGACAUUCCAUUGUUAAAGAAUUCUGAGAAAAUGGGAAAGGAGAAUGAUAAAAAUCAGAAAACUCAUAAUGUUGCAUCUUUCACUUCAUGGUGCAUAUUAACGUUUUAAAGUGCCUAAGAAAUCCCAUGUUAAAAAAAAAUUAACAUUGCCAGCUCACUAUUUUGCAGACUUAUUUUCCCAUAGACCUGCCCCCUCCUUUUGGUUUUCACGUAGGCCUGACAGUGCUGCAUGAGUCCCUUGUGGGGAAGCCCAUCCUGCCUCUCUUCUUCAUUUUCUUCAUUUUCUCCCUUUUUUCUUCCUUCUCUUUGUCCACAUAAUUACC